This 264-nucleotide ribosomal RNA is filed under the name uncultured bacterium. Its description in RNAcentral is "partial 16S ribosomal RNA". It matches the Rfam family "Bacterial small subunit ribosomal RNA", at positions 793 to 1055 of the family's 1533-position model. The record is from RNAcentral.
GUCCACGCCGUAAACGAUGUCAACUAGCCGUUGGUCCUAUUUACAGGAUUAGUGGCGCAGCUAACGCAUUAAGUUGACCGCCUGGGGAGUACGGCCGCAAGGUUAAAACUCAAAUGAAUUGACGGGGGCCCGCACAAGCGGUGGAGCAUGUGGUUUAAUUCGAUGCAACGCGAAGAACCUUACCUACCCUUGACAUCCAGAGAAUCUGUUAGAGAUAGUAGAGUGCCUUCGGGAGCUCUGAGACAGGUGCUGCAUGGCUGUCGU